GCAAUAACAUAAUGCUGGGAGAAAUUGAAAUUAAUGAGCUAAGGAACAAAGCCACAUUUACAAAAUAUUUUCAGCCCAGUCUUCUGCUAAGAUACCCUCAGAUGUUCAUUUCAGAACUGCUUUCCCAGAAAAAAGCAGCAGCCAAAUAUUUUAACUCAUUAGAUAUACUUGAACUCUUCACUGCAGUAUUGUGCUGUUUCAUAUGUGCCAGACUCCAAAUGGCUCCAUGUGGAUGCAAAGUAUGUCCACACAAAGGUCAUUUGCAGGAUUAGACCAAAGAGUUGCAAGGCAGGCAAGGGAAAGCAGUCCAAGUUAGUUUAAUUCUCAAGGCAGUCUUUAGGGCCUAAGCAAAAUACAAAACAAACUCUGAGCACAGUAAUGCAAAGCAUUUUCCCCUGAUGUCUAGGGUCAGGGAUUAAUAUUUUUGAUAUAUUAAGAGUGUUAUUUCCUUUUGAUCAGGUGGGGAUGGACUAUUAGCUUUCAGGUCUACAUGACUACCUGAGGUGAAGGCCACAAGUAUUUUACAAUAUUUUUGAAGGUAAUUAGCCUGAGUAACUGGAUCUGAUUAAUAUAAAAAAAGACAUUCAAAGGGAAAACCCUCCUCCUUGAUAUACAGAUUCCUGUUUGCUCUUCUCAUUCCCUGUGGGACCAGCUGCGGGAGCAACAGGUUCUAUUCCAUUUGCAAUGUGUCAGGCUGCUCUUCUGGAGACAUGGUCUAAGUUUUAGAGAAAUCUUGAUGAAAGCCAGAGAAAAAGCGAAGAUUUGCAGCAGUCAUAAUUUGCCAAACUUCUCUAUACACUAAAACUUGUUUUGUGUGCUGCUCAUAGCUUCUAUGUUUAUUUAAUCUGCUUUUCCUUAUUUAUUGUUUUCUUUGAUAAAACAACAGUUAUUAAAACACUGGCAGCUCAAUAAUUUUCUUUAAAAUUAGUUAUGUUGCCUUUUGAACUGUGUAAUACUUCCAAAGCACAAAAGAGUUAAAGAAAAAUAAACCGAUUACUGCAACUUUCUGCAUUUCAAAACAGAGGUAAAUAACAUCUGUGCAGAGCUCCAGUCCCUUCCAAUAAUUAGCUGCUUUAGCGAAGGGGGUGAACCACUUGGAACCACUGCAGCAGUCAUCUUUUGGCUUUUCCUCUUUCAAGAUGUGUUUUCUGACUCCAGCUCAGAGGAUUAUGUUCUUCUUGCUCAUGACAAUACUGUUCUUACAAAAAUGAGAGAUGAGAGCAGAGAGUGAGGCACAUUGCUUGGAUCACUGGGAAAGGAUGGUCCAUGUUAGGGCUGCCUGGAGAUGGCUACCUCAAACAGCUCCCAGAUUUAGCUGCAUCUGAAGCUAAAUGGUUAUUUCACAGACUGCUGGACUAAUGCAAUAGUGCCCCACCCCCUUCCUUGACAUGCUGCUCUGCAUUGAGAGAGGGUUUAGGGAAUGACUGACCCAGCUGGAGGCGAUGCCAGCUAUGAGAGACUGGUACUUCUGAGUGAUGGCACUGUGCUGAGCACCUUAUUUUUGUCAAAUGUGUCACUUGGUGCAGAGUAGACUGGCAGGGUGCUUUAAACCAUGACAGGGUUCACCUGCCAUUCUUCAACCAGGGUCCGCUUAGUAGUCAAACAUAUUGGUUCUUCUCUGAUAAAUGCCAAAGCUUUGUAAUCUGGGGUCUAGUCUGUUGUAGUCUUUGCUCAUUCUACAUUGGCUUCCUACAAGCCUUUCCAGUUUCUGCUCAUGCAGUUUCCAUUGAUUAUACAUAAGAUGCCUGCAGAAUCUAAAUGUUCCUUAGCGUAUUGGCUGGAAAAGCUUUAAUUAAAUGGAUCUCAUACUCUCUUCUUUUUAAUGAAAUGACUUCUUUUGGUUCCAAUUAAAAAAAAUAUUAAUGUCUUAUUCACCUUCAGUUUAGUUCAAUGUGAAGACAAGAAUGAGGGGCUCUUGUUGCAGAUACAGGUGUUCCUGUACAGCCAUUAUUGUUAAUUCCAGGAGAAAGCAAAUCCUUACAAAUCUGGCUGCAAUAGAACUCCCUCCCUGGGCAAACAGAGAGCUAAAUAACACAAACCUUUAAUAUCCUGAGGCAAGGGAAAUUUUCUGUUUGCCUUGUGCUCUCCAAAUGCAAUAGACACUGAGGAUGAUAUUCAUGACACCUGAUUUUACCCAUCUAUAAAUUAUUCAUUUGAUCUGAGCUAAUCAGCUAUGCUCCCUCAAUAGUCAAUGAAAGACAAAGAAGCUGGCCAGGCAAGUUUGUAUCACACGUAAGAUGGCUUGCACCAACCUCUCAGGGCUCUUAUUUCUCUCCAGUGACUUCUGGGAAAGCCCAGACUACUGCAACUGCAAUGACAUAUUAGCCCACUUUCUUUUUGUCCACCCUCAUAUUGGGAGAAUUACAGAAAAAGUAACAAUUUAUUCUUGUGUAUACAAGACAUCCCUUUGAUGGCUGGCCAGGGACAGCUGUGCAGUUCUGCUCUGUAUAACUGUAUACAUAAAAGUAUUAAUUAUUUCUAUAUUAAGAAAUAAAUAUGACAUGAGGUAACAGCAAGGCUUUCAUCCAAGUGUGUAGGGGGAUUUUUCUCUUGGUAACAUAACAUUGCUGUUAACCAAGUAUAUUAACUGAGACAUUUCAAUUAUGUUAAUUAGUUAUUUUCUAAUUCUUUAGCUUUAUAGAUUGUCAUGCCAUUUUGUGGGGUGAGAACAUGUGUGACUGUGCUGCAGGAUCUGUAUUACUAGAAGUUUGUCUCUAGUAAGGAAGAAUUUUUUACUCUGAGCAAGGUGCCAGGCCUUGUAUUUUGAAAGCUUCUGUAAAAGAAAAUAUUGAUUUUCAAUUUAGUUUCAUUUAUCAGGUUGAAAAAUUUAGCAGUCCAACUGUCACAAACUAUAUCAAGAAUGGUUAUGACCCUGGAAACAAUAUACCUAGUACAUGCAAUUUUUUUUAAUAUAGAAAUUUGGUCCAUUUAAUCAUAAUAGAAAAUGGAGCAGUGUGUCCCCUAUCACAGGAAAUUAUUAGAAGAUCUGUUUCACAACUGACUUGUGUGUAAGUCCAGAGAAAAAUAAAAUAUUGAAACAGGAUAUAAGUGACCUCUCUUGAGGUGAAGAAACAUUAUAAGCUAUGUGCCAAACGCAUUAAAACUAAAUUCAAAGUACACAUUCUCAUGAGGGCUGGGGUUUUUUUUAUUAAUUGUAUAUCUGUAUGUCAGCAUCACAGAAAGACCUUCUGUACAGAUAUUCUUUAAACUCCUUCUGUAGGAAGGAGCGCUUAAGUCCUUAUCUUGUUCACCUGGACAAGACAGUGAUUGGAGACGUGUUAUUUCAUGGAACUGGGAUUGAGAAUGAAGGCCACCCUACAGCAGGAGGCUUUUCAGACGUGUGUGACUUGAACUGAGACCACUGCAGUUAUUCUUCUGAUGCUGCCAGCAAACAGUGUGAAACAAUAACUGUUAUCCACGCGCUGCCACAUUUAUCACAGCCUGGAUGUUAAUUUAGAAAGCAAAUACAACUCAGGGCUUUAACUGUAUGUCUGUCUUAAGGCUCAGUUUAUGGGAAGGCAUGUCAAAGGUGCUGUUGACUACAAUUAUGAAUUAGGAAAGAAGUUUUGGGAAGGAGAUCAAAAAUAAACUUAGUUUUGUGAGCGUUAGCACUGUAGAAUCUAUGACUCAGGCAUCCACUGAAAACAUGCAAAAAGCAUUUGGCAGCAAGAUGGUCCUUCAGGAGAAACCAUAGUAUUUCUGAAAUACCAUAGUAUUUCUGAAGGUGCCAGAACACAUACGUAGCUGGGUAUGGCCCCCGCAGAUCUCCUGGUAGCAGUUCCUGCGAAGUGUUCCAAAGCCUGUUCAUCUCCCACUGUAUCUUCUCAUUUAUUGACUUGCCUUUGGAGUCAAGAAACAGCAUCCCACGAGUUCCUGAGUACCCAAAUUGCAGUUACCCACUCUCGUUAUAAAACCCUCUCGUUCUCCUGUGACAGCUGUUGGAGCAGAGCAGUGCUGGGGUGGGUCCUGCAGCCCACUGCUCCUGGAAAGUGUAGGAAGGCAGGAUCACACUGGAAGAAGAUCUGCACAGGAUAUUGAUUAUUAUUUCCAACAUAGAGAUAUUUGAAAUAAUUAAUAUGCUAUAGAAUAUACUGUGUGCUUUCCUUCUUUGUUGUAAGAAAACCUUUUGUCAUCUAUGAGGCUUAUAUCAAAAUGUGUCUCUGUGACAGGACCUGUAAGCCCCAGUUUGUAUUUUUUUUUAAGACCCUUCAUCUUGAUUAGAAAGAUUUCCAGUAUUAUAACUAUGUCAACAAAGUCAAACUAACUCAGAAGCCAUCUCACACACUACUGUGUUAGCCCGGAGGCAGGUCGGACCUCAUUACUCUUUUCAUGAAGCUAUAGUGUUAUGAUCACUAUUAUAAAGACCUGAGGGCCUUUGGGAUAUUAGUCACAUGUUAGAUCUCCUCCCCUAUGUUCCUUGUGAAUUUCAGAGUUGUUAAUAAUUUUCCUUUUAUGUAGAUAAAUCCCGUCCAAUGUAGGAGCCAAUUUCUAGUCACCUAAAUGGUCAUACACACACAUACAACCCAUAAUUGCAGAAUUUGUAUUCGGUGAGCGACACUCAUAAUGUUUAUUUUACCGGGUACAUAGGUGGAUGGAACUACACAGCUCCAUACUUAUUUCAGGUUAAAACUAUGCUAGUGUUCAGCACUGAACCAGAAUAUCUUUUCCUGGUUUACCUCCAAAGUAGUUCUGUUAUGAAGAUCUAUUCCUAAACUAGCACAUAGAUGUCACUUAGAGACAGGUUGUAAUGGGAAACAUUGGCUUUUUGGCUAGAUUAGUGCAUUUAAAUGGAUCAAUGAUGUGAUGCAGCUGUAGGGUGGAGGCUCUUUAAAAGCUUCACUUCUCAGUGCCAAAUAUAAUGAAAUACGA
RNAcentral lists this long non-coding RNA (4869 nucleotides) under Taeniopygia guttata (zebra finch). RNAcentral's name for it is "lncRNA (ENSTGUG00000024658.1)". The record is from RNAcentral. Lineage: Eukaryota; Metazoa; Chordata; Aves; Passeriformes; Estrildidae.